AUUGAACGCUGGCGGCAGGCCUAACACAUGCAAGUCGAACGGUAACAGGAAGCAGCUUGCUGCUUCGCUGACGAGUGGCGGACGGGUGAGUAAUGUCUGGGAAGCUGCCUGAUGGAGGGGGAUAACUACUGGAAACGGUAGCUAAUACCGCAUAAUGUCGCAAGACCAAAGAGGGGGACCUUCGGGCCUCUUGCCAUCGGAUGUGCCCAGAUGGGAUUAGCUUGUUGGUGGGGUAACGGCUCACCAAGGCGACGAUCCCUAGCUGGUCUGAGAGGAUGACCAGCCACACUGGAACUGAGACACGGUCCAGACUCCUACGGGAGGCAGCAGUGGGGAAUAUUGCACAAUGGGCGCAAGCCUGAUGCAGCCAUGCCGCGUGUAUGAAGAAGGCCUUCGGGUUGUAAAGUACUUUCAGCGGGGAGGAAGGGAGUAAAGUUAAUACCUUUGCUCAUUGACGUUACACGCAGAAGAAGCACCGGCUAACUCCGUG
RNAcentral lists this ribosomal RNA (490 nucleotides) under uncultured bacterium. Its description in RNAcentral is "partial 16S ribosomal RNA". It matches the Rfam family "Bacterial small subunit ribosomal RNA", at positions 30 to 507 of the family's 1533-position model. The record is from RNAcentral.